Long non-coding RNA from Sphaeramia orbicularis (orbiculate cardinalfish), 171 nucleotides. RefSeq lists it as uncharacterized. The record is from RefSeq and is a predicted model, not a curated record. Lineage: Eukaryota; Metazoa; Chordata; Actinopteri; Kurtiformes; Apogonidae. The transcript is spliced from 3 exons.
UGCCAAGUAUUAUUCUGUUCUCCAAACCCACAUGUUCCCUUUUGCACAUGCUCUGUUCCAUUGAGGUCAAAACUGGAUGUUUCAGCAAAAUAAUGAAACACAGCCAGGGCAUGACAUGUAGAAACUGUCAAGACAUUAGUUUUGUUAUUUUUUCUUGUGAUCAAUAAAUUU